UACGUAGGGGGCGAGCGUUGUCCGGAGUUACUGGGCGUAAAGCGCACGCAGGCGGUCUGCUAAGUUUGGAGUGACAGUUGGUGGCUUAACUGCAAAAGUGCUUCGAAAACUGACAGACUUGAGGGCUUCAGAGGGACACGGAAUUCCGGGUGGAGUGGUGAAAUGCGUAGAGAUCCGGAGGAACACCAAAGGCGAAGGCAGUGUCCUGGGGAGUACCUGACGCUCAGGUGCGAAAGCCAGGGGAGCGAACGGG
This 253-nucleotide ribosomal RNA is filed under the name uncultured bacterium. RNAcentral's name for it is "partial 16S ribosomal RNA". It matches the Rfam family "Bacterial small subunit ribosomal RNA", at positions 524 to 776 of the family's 1533-position model. The record is from RNAcentral.